UGAGAAUGAGAAUAGAAAAGCGAAAGCAAGUGACACUAUCACACCCUUUGGGUCAAAAGAGAUGUUGGGAUAGUCGCACCAACCAUUCUCA
Molecule: non-coding RNA, 91 nt
Submitted as: unclassified sequences
Source: Rfam